RNAcentral lists this ribosomal RNA (253 nucleotides) under uncultured bacterium. Its description in RNAcentral is "partial 16S ribosomal RNA". It matches the Rfam family "Bacterial small subunit ribosomal RNA", at positions 524 to 776 of the family's 1533-position model. The record is from RNAcentral.
GACGAAGGUGGCGAGCGUUGUUCGGAAUCACUGGGCUUAAAGAGCACGUAGGCGGCCCUUCAAGUGUCUUGUGAAAUCCCUCGGCUCAACCGAGGAAUUGCUGGGCAUACUGUCGGGCUUGAGGCAGGUAUGGGCGGGUGGAACUCUUGGUGGAGCGGUGGAAUGCGUAGAUAUCAAGAGGAACGCCGGUGGUGAAGACGAUCCGCUAGGCCUGUCCUGACGCUGAGGUGCGAAAGCCAGGGGAGCAAACGGG